UUAAGCGACUAAGCGUACACGGUGGAUGCCCUGGCAGUCAGAGGCGAUGAAGGACGUGCUAAUCUGCGAUAAGCGUCGGUAAGGUGAUAUGAACCGUUAUAACCGGCGAUUUCCGAAUGGGGAAACCCAGUGUGAUUCGUCACACUAUCAUUAACUGAAUCCAUAGGUUAAUGAGGCGAACCGGGGGAACUGAAACAUCUAAGUACCCCGAGGAAAAGAAAUCAACCGAGAUUCCCCCAGUAGCGGCGAGCGAACGGGGAGCAGCCCAGAGCCUGAAUCAGUGUGUGUGUUAGUGGAAGCGUCUGGAAAGGCGUGCGAUACAGGGUGACAGCCCCGUACACAAAAAUGCACAUGCUGUGAGCUCGAUGAGUAGGGCGGGACACGUGGUAUCCUGUCUGAAUAUGGGGGACCAUCCUCCAAGGCUAAAUACUCCUGACUGACCGAUAGUGAACCAGUACCGUGAGGGAAAGGCGAAAAGAACCCCGGCGAGGGGAGUGAAAAAGAACCUGAAACCGUGUACGUACAAGCAGUGGGAGCACAGAGCAAUCUGUGUGACUGCGUACCUUUUGUAUAAUGGGUCAGCGACUUAUAUUCUGUAGCAAGGUUAACCGAAUAGGGGAGCCGAAGGGAAACCGAGUCUUAACUGGGCGUUAAGUUGCAGGGUAUAGACCCGAAACCCGGUGAUCUAGCCAUGGGCAGGUUGAAGGUUGGGUAACACUAACUGGAGGACCGAACCGACUAAUGUUGAAAAAUUAGCGGAUGACUUGUGGCUGGGGGUGAAAGGCCAAUCAAACCGGGAGAUAGCUGGUUCUCCCCGAAAGCUAUUUAGGUAGCGCCUCGUGAAUUCAUCUCCGGGGGUAGAGCACUGUUUCGGCAAGGGGGUCAUCCCGACUUACCAACCCGAUGCAAACUGCGAAUACCGGAGAAUGUUAUCACGGGAGACACACGGCGGGUGCUAACGUCCGUCGUGAAGAGGGAAACAACCCAGACCGCCAGCUAAGGUCCCAAAGUCAUGGUUAAGUGGGAAACGAUGUGGGAAGGCCCAGACAGCCAGGAUGUUGGCUUAGAAGCAGCCAUCAUUUAAAGAAAGCGUAAUAGCUCACUGGUCGAGUCGGCCUGCGCGGAAGAUGUAACGGGGCUAAACCAUGCACCGAAGCUGCGGCAGCGACGCUUAUGCGUUGUUGGGUAGGGGAGCGUUCUGUAAGCCUGCGAAGGUGUGCUGUGAGGCAUGCUGGAGGUAUCAGAAGUGCGAAUGCUGACAUAAGUAACGAUAAAGCGGGUGAAAAGCCCGCUCGCCGGAAGACCAAGGGUUCCUGUCCAACGUUAAUCGGGGCAGGGUGAGUCGACCCCUAAGGCGAGGCCGAAAGGCGUAGUCGAUGGGAAACAGGUUAAUAUUCCUGUACUUGGUGUUACUGCGAAGGGGGGACGGAGAAGGCUAUGUUGGCCGGGCGACGGUUGUCCCGGUUUAAGCGUGUAGGCUGGUUUUCCAGGCAAAUCCGGAAAACUAAGGCUGAGGCGUGAUGACGAGGCACUACGGUGCUGAAGCAACAAAUGCCCUGCUUCCAGGAAAAGCCUCUAAGCAUCAGGUAACAUCAAAUCGUACCCCAAACCGACACAGGUGGUCAGGUAGAGAAUACCAAGGCGCUUGAGAGAACUCGGGUGAAGGAACUAGGCAAAAUGGUGCCGUAACUUCGGGAGAAGGCACGCUGAUAUGUAGGUGAAGCGACUUGCUCGUGGAGCUGAAAUCAGUCGAAGAUACCAGCUGGCUGCAACUGUUUAUUAAAAACACAGCACUGUGCAAACACGAAAGUGGACGUAUACGGUGUGACGCCUGCCCGGUGCCGGAAGGUUAAUUGAUGGGGUCAGCGCAAGCGAAGCUCUUGAUCGAAGCCCCGGUAAACGGCGGCCGUAACUAUAACGGUCCUAAGGUAGCGAAAUUCCUUGUCGGGUAAGUUCCGACCUGCACGAAUGGCGUAAUGAUGGCCAGGCUGUCUCCACCCGAGACUCAGUGAAAUUGAACUCGCUGUGAAGAUGCAGUGUACCCGCGGCAAGACGGAAAGACCCCGUGAACCUUUACUAUAGCUUGACACUGAACAUUGAGCCUUGAUGUGUAGGAUAGGUGGGAGGCUUUGAAGUGUGGACGCCAGUCUGCAUGGAGCCGACCUUGAAAUACCACCCUUUAAUGUUUGAUGUUCUAACGUUGACCCGUGAUCCGGGUUGCGGACAGUGUCUGGUGGGUAGUUUGACUGGGGCGGUCUCCUCCUAAAGAGUAACGGAGGAGCACGAAGGUUGGCUAAUCCUGGUCGGACAUCAGGAGGUUAGUGCAAUGGCAUAAGCCAGCUUGACUGCGAGCGUGACGGCGCGAGCAGGUGCGAAAGCAGGUCAUAGUGAUCCGGUGGUUCUGAAUGGAAGGGCCAUCGCUCAACGGAUAAAAGGUACUCCGGGGAUAACAGGCUGAUACCGCCCAAGAGUUCAUAUCGACGGCGGUGUUUGGCACCUCGAUGUCGGCUCAUCACAUCCUGGGGCUGAAGUAGGUCCCAAGGGUAUGGCUGUUCGCCAUUUAAAGUGGUACGCGAGCUGGGUUUAGAACGUCGUGAGACAGUUCGGUCCCUAUCUGCCGUGGGCGCUGGAGAACUGAGGGGGGCUGCUCCUAGUACGAGAGGACCGGAGUGGACGCAUCACUGGUGUUCGGGUUGUCAUGCCAAUGGCACUGCCCGGUAGCUAAAUGCGGAAGAGAUAAGUGCUGAAAGCAUCUAAGCACGAAACUUGCCCCGAGAUGAGUUCUCCCUGACUCCUUGAGAGUCCUGAAGGAACGUUGAAGACGACGACGUUGAUAGGCCGGGUGUGUAAGCGCAGCGAUGCGUUGAGCUAACCGGUACUAAUGAACCGUGAGGCUUAACCUU
Molecule: ribosomal RNA, 2903 nt
Filed under: Escherichia coli
Lineage: Bacteria; Pseudomonadati; Pseudomonadota; Gammaproteobacteria; Enterobacterales; Enterobacteriaceae
Description: bacterial LSU rRNA
Rfam family: Bacterial large subunit ribosomal RNA
Source: RNAcentral